GAAUUCGUUGUAAGUGUCCUCCUGACUGGAGGGAGAAGAAGCCAUUCUGGAGGCAGAAGGGUCUCUGUUGGUGAAGGUUGUUUGAAACAGCACUUGAUGAGAACAUGCCUGGUUCCUGCUCAUCUUGUUCAGGCAUGAGCUUCUUAAGAAAAAUAACAAAGAGAGGACCUGCAUUAAACACUUCCAUAAUGUUUCAUAUUGAUUCCAAGUGCUUAAAAAAUUUUGUCAAAUAUUUGAGAGAGACCUGUGCUGAAGGUGGUGCCUGAUCCUCAUGCAUAAGAAAAACAAGUCAACAGUGUAGGUCUCCUGAAACUAUCAACAGGAUCUG
RNAcentral lists this long non-coding RNA (328 nucleotides) under Parus major (Great Tit). RNAcentral's name for it is "lncRNA (ENSPMJG00000011261.1)". The record is from RNAcentral. Lineage: Eukaryota; Metazoa; Chordata; Aves; Passeriformes; Paridae.